Molecule: non-coding RNA, 14807 nt
Organism: Rattus norvegicus (Norway rat)
Lineage: Eukaryota; Metazoa; Chordata; Mammalia; Rodentia; Muridae
Source: RefSeq, a predicted model, not a curated record
UCUGUUGGAUCACCAAGACCUUAGCUGCUCCAUCAGGAAGCCAUUAAAAGGGCAGAAGGAAGUGACCACUUCUCUGACUGCUCUAGGAGCAUUGGAUUGCUUUCUUUUCUUUUCUUUUCUUUUUUUUUUUUUUGGUUGUGUGAGACCCCGUGGCAUUUGCCAUCUGUCUUCUGUUAAAUUUUCUUUCUAAGUGUUUCAGUGUGUAGUCCCAGAGAACCCGCAUGUGAAGCACUCAGGAUGUACCCAGAUUACUUAUUCAAAAUCUAUCAACACGUUGGUUUCCCAUGGAAGGUUCAGGGAGCUUAGAGGAUAAAGCACAUCCAUUUUUAGACAACAGGUAUAAGGCAGAGUACCUUCUAGAAGCAAAGGUUGCAGAUAAGCCCCAUCUUUUAUGAUGGCAACAUGUGGGUUGACAAGGAUCCUGGAGAGUCUGGCUCUUUUCUUGGACCAAGUAAUGGAUUAUCUCCUGCUUCCAGUGAAUCUUACAUCCAUUCCCAUGUGCCUCCCAGCCACCAUCUGCAGUACCAUGGAGGCGACUUGACCAACAUCAAACUCCAUUCCUCUCACAUUGUGGCUGCUUCCUGGCAUCCUCUCCUGAACUAUAAAAUGUAAGUUUUCUGUCAUUUCCCCAACAGUUAGCACAUUGCUUUACGCUUAUUUCUCUUGCUUUGGAAUGUGAAGGGCACCUUCUUUCACAUACCAACACUUAGGGAAUUGAUGGGUAAGGAGGACCUAGUAAAGAAGAGUGAGAAGAGGCACCUGCUGAGGUGAGAGGAGAAUCCAGAGAGUAGAUUCCAAUGUCAAGUAAAUGACAAUAGGAAGAGGAUGGGGAGUCUAUUUGCAUUAAGAGCUGUAAACAGAUCCAAUAGGAUGGGCCUCUGAGAACUAACUGAUCACUGGGCUUGGCAAUCUGUAAGUCAUGAAUGAUUUUAGAGUAGAGGAAAAUAAAUGUACAAUAUUCGCUAGAUUGAGGUCCUGAGUAGGCAAGGGAGAAUGGACCUAGUAUUCAAGUAAAAGGUCUGCUUUCCAAGCAAAGCCAAGUCUCUGGUGGGAAGAGAGAGGAUGUGGCUAUGAAAGAAAGCUAACCGGUUCAUGAGUUAGUGGAAGUUGCAGAAUCCCUCUUGUGGUUAGUCUUAUUUCUCAAAGAACUCAUCUCAGGAUGAAGGUGACUGUGUGUGUUCUGUUAGUGCUUAUUGCUAUGACACAUUGCCUGACAAAAGCAACUUAACAAAGGACUUCCUUUGGCUCACAGUGUGAGGCAAGGAAGGCAUGAGACCAAGAGCUACGAUGGCAAGAGUUUGGGGCAGUUAAAUGGUGUUCACGUUCAGUGUGGGGGUUUUUAUCCUGGGGUUAAGUAUCUCUGGAUCUCUCCUACAGAUAUCAUCAUGCCCUCUGCAUGAUCCAAAUCCUGUCAAGUAAACAAUGGGUUCCUCUCUCUAUUCAUCUAUCUAUCUAUCUUUCUUUCUUUCUUUCUUUCUUUCUUUCUUUCUUUCUUUCUUUCUUUCUUUCUUUCUUUCUUUCUAUCUAUCUAUCCAGAGUCAGGCUUUCUUGUAGCCCACACUGAUUUGAAAUUGCUAUGUGGCCAAGGCUAAUCUUGAGUUUAUCAUCUCUCUUGCUUAACCAUCAAUCAGAGCAUUAGAACCACAGGCACCAUAUGCUACAAUGCCUGGUUUAUAUGGAGCUAGAGAUCAAACCUAGGCCUUUAUGCAAACUAAGACUAGCACCCUACCAGUUGAGCCCUAGCCUGCAAAGGAGUAAAUCACAUGUAAUUUAUUCAUCUUUGUGUUAUUUCUGUGUCUCCAGCAAUUAGAAUUGUGCCCCGAACAUGACUGGUAUCAACACAGGGUGGUAAGUUAGUGAACUGAGGCUCUGAGAAAUGACUUGACAUUAGGGUUACUUAUCUUCACAUUUUCUGGAAAAAUGUAACCUCAUUUUUAUGUUGAACUGCUUAUGAACUAAUCUAGGUCACCUCAGCUUUGAGUGAAUGUGAAUUCUCUCAGCAGUCUAUCAUCUAUUUAAUCCUGCUCUGGAGUCACUUACGACUUUUACAUUACCAAGACUGGUGGUUAGUUCUCAGGCCUAUCUUAUUAGGUUUACUCAAUUGACACACACACACACACACACACACACACACACACACACACACACACACACACUACACAUGAAGGAUUAAAAAUUAAUAAUAAGCCGCCUAGCUACCCAAAAAGAAGAAGUAGGGUCUGUGAGAACAUGAACUUUUCACCCCUCCCUUGCUGUACAAUGGUUCCCGGAACAUUCUUGCAUGAAAAGUUUCCUGGAACAGCCACAAUGACCCAUAGCCUCCGGCCACAAUGGUCCAAUGGCCCUGUAAAAUGUCACUACCCCUAAUCACAAUGUCACAAAGUCCUGGGUGUGUUGCCUAGUGUUACACAUGACUAGCAUAUGACCUAACUGUAUGGGCAGUCUAUGGUUUUGGAAUUUCCCUCCUCCCUCCCUCCUGAUCCCCCCUGGUUUGUGGUUUUUUCCUUUAUAAGCUCUGUGAAAAUUCAGGUCGGGGUCGAACUCCUCUACUCCCUGUGUGGCGUAUGAGUCUCGACCCCAGCAUGCUGGCCUGAGCUCUCGUUUCAUCUCGCUUACAAUAAAUCUUCCUCGUGUGAUUACAGCAGGUCGGUGUCUGUGUCCUACUGGGUGCGCGUCUUUCCCGAGACUUGAGUGGGGGGCUCCCUUCGGGGGUCUUUCAUUUGGGGGCUCGUCUGGGAUCUGCGCGACCACCCAGGGGUCCUAGACCCACUUGGAGGUAAGAUUCUCUGUUUUAUCUCAGCGCUGUGUCUGGGUCUGUGUCUAUGUUCUGUCUGGGAAUCUGGUGUGAUCGCUGUUUCGGUUUUGCGGACGCUCAGUGAGACCGCGCUCCAGGAAGGAGAGCGGGGUGGAUAGGGAUAGACGUGUUCAGGUACCCACCGUCCGUUCGCCCUGGGAGACGUCCCAGGAGGACACAAGGGGGGACCAGGGACGCCUGGUGAACCCCAUCUGAUAGGUCCAGAGGAGACUUUACUCCUUGACGACCGGUUUGUUAGGCAAGGUCUGCGACCUGCCGAUCAGUUUCAGUGCCUCUGGUCGACACGAAGUCGACGUCGGUUUUGUUUUCUUUUUUCUCUUUUGUUUGUGCUCGUGUGUGUGAGUGUGUGUGAAUUAAGUCCUGUAGUCUGUGUUUUUCGGUACCGGUUUAAGGUCUUAGUGCACUGUCUGGGCAGAUGAAGGAUUCCUGCCCUGUGCACGAGAGUCUUAGUGCACUGUCUGGGCAGAAGAAGGUUUCCUGCCCUGUGCACGGGUGGAAGAAGGUUCCCCACCCCGAAAUGGCGCCUGUGAGUAGAUGAAGGAUUCCUACUCCGAAUAGUCUUUUUCUUUCUUUUUUUUUCCUUUUUAGAAAGCGCACCGGGGGACGCCCCAAUCGCGCAGGCUCUGGGACGCGUGAGAAACGUUCCACGAGCCGAAUUUUGUCGGGAGGACCCGGCAACGGACAGUCAAAAAGAUCUGACUGUGACUUUGGAGGUCAUGUUCGGCUGCCUAUUUAAGUAUAGGCACGGACAAGUGUGCUUAGAUGUGUUAGUGUUUGUUGUCUGUAUUCUGUUUCUGUGUUUGGUAUCCCAGAAGCAGCUAAGGUUAAGCUGCAGUUUGGGCCAGGUACUGAAGGUACCAGGCAUCUGUGGAAAUUGGUUAUAGGAUGCUUUGUCUUGGUCUUGUUUGUCUGGAUUGUUUUCUGUGGUAUUGUCCCGUGUCUUUUUGACUUUUGUUUCGUGUUUGAAUUUGGACUGACAACCGUGUUUAAAAUCUUGGACCGACGACUGUGUUUGAAAUCAUGAAACUGUUUGCUUUGUUCGUUGAAGAGUUUUACUUGGUCCCCUUAAUGCUUAGUGAGUAAGGAACUUAAUUUUGUGGACCCCGCUCUAGUGGCGGUAUGUUGGUUGAUAGCCAAAGUUAAUUUUUAAAACAUAGUGUUUUGGGGGUUGGGGAUUUAGCUCAGUGGUAGAGCUCUUGCCUAGCAAGCGCAAAGCCCUGGGUUCGGUCCCCAGCUCUAAAAAAGGAAAGAAAAACAAAACAAAAACAUAGUGUUUUAUCUGUGCUUGUGCUCGAAGCCAGCUGUGAUGAACUGGGAAAGAUUUAAAUUUUCCUUGGGAGUAAAGAAUCUUAAAGGCGGAGUUUCAGCCGGUAUGACACUUAGUGCGUAGCUGCCUAAAAGAUCAGAAAUACUGUUAAUAGGCUAUAAAAAAGGGACAGGCUGUGUUAGAAAUGCUACAGGAAGAAUAAUCUAAAAAGGCUGAGAGCUAGGUGGGGCUAUAAGGAAAACAAGAAUAGGAAAGGAAUUUCUGACAUUUGCUCACAGUAGGAGAGCACUCAUUUAGAGAAGUUCUUUAAGGAAGCCUGCCUUAUCUGCUGUCUUUAUUCCAAGGGAGGAGUCAGUCUCCAGCACUAAAUUACUUGGAGGUGGCCAAGGUCAGGAUUAAUGUUUUCUUUUCCUUGGCCCCUUUAAACCCAGUGAGACAGUUUGGUAAAGGGCUACUACUGAGGUCCUGAUAGCACCAGGUGAACUGGUUAUAAUUCUUUUAUCAGCCCCCUGGCAUCUAGCACCCAGGUUCUAACCAUCUCUCCAUCCUUUUGUUAUUAAUUGUUACUAAAAGCCUAGUGUCAUUUGGAGGCAAGUUCUCUUGAGAGACAAAGCUACGGAGCUCACACUGAAGAGAGAUGCUCCUUGAGGGAAAACCUAACUCUAGAGAGAUAGUCGAUAACAGAUUGGCUGCCUCUCUGCUCACCUUUCCGUUUCAUAGACAAAGCUUGUGCUUAUUUGUACAAUGGCCUUUUCGUUCCAAGAAAGGCCUCCUGGUUUAACUGUGUGACUAAAUGCUGUUUGCCCUCUUCGGUAGACUCUAUUCUCAAGAUUCUCUUGUUUUCUCACCAUCCCAUUUGAUAUGCUUGUUAGUAACUGUUACAGGUCUUCUUUACCACCGAGGAAAGACGGAAUCCUACUAGAGGCCAGAAAAAAAAAAAGGGUUCCAACACGCAUAGAAGGCCCUCACUUCUGCCUGCUCUCUUCAUACCCCUGAAGGCUAAAAGACCUACAGGUGAUACAGAAAGAAAUCUGCUCACAGCUGACAGCAGCCUAUGCCCCGGAGACCCCUGAGACAUCCCAUCAGUUCCAGGUUGCAGCUACACUGAGUCCAGACACUCGAGCCUCGCUGGAAAGGACCGUACCUGGUGCUGCUGACCACCCUGACAGCUGUCAAUUCUCAGCCCUCACCAGCCGUGUACUAGCUGUUGGGGCUGAGAGCUGGGACCUAGAGGGAAACUCAGUCAUGUUUGUCCUGGGUUCUAUCAAGAUAGGUGUGGGAUAGGCUUGAUUUCCAUUACAAAUGAUGUAACAUUGCAUAUGUUAGUACUCUUAACACUUCUUGGGACUGUGCCUCAGGGAUCACAGUCCGCAUAAGCUUAGAAGUUCUAAAAGCUAGUCAUGACCUUGGUGGAUAGGCUUGGAUAGUGUCCAGGUUAGAAUCCUCAUGUUAAGACUACAAUACCAAGCUGUUAUGCUAGAUGAAGCUGAGUUCUCCAUGAAGUUCUAGGAUUAGAACUAUUAACAAAAAAAGAAGAAGUGGGGAAUGAAGGAUUAAAAAUUAAUAAUAAGCCGCCUAGCUACCCAAAAAGAAGAAGUAGGGUCUGUGAGAACAUGAACUUUUCACCCCUCCCUUGCUGUACAAUGGUUCCCGGAACAUUCUUGCAUGAAAAGUUUCCUGGAACAGCCACAAUGACCCAUAGCCUCCGGCCACAAUGGUCCAAUGGCCCUGUAAAAUGUCACUACCCCUAAUCACAAUGUCACAAAGUCCUGGGUGUGUUGCCUAGUGUUACACAUGACUAGCAUAUGACCUAACUGUAUGGGCAGUCUAUGGUUUUGGAAUUUCCCUCCUCCCUCCCUCCUGAUCCCCCCUGGUUUGUGGUUUUUUCCUUUAUAAGCUCUGUGAAAAUUCAGGUCGGGGUCGAACUCCUCUACUCCCUGUGUGGCGUAUGAGUCUCGACCCCAGCAUGCUGGCCUGAGCUCUCGUUUCAUCUCGCUUACAAUAAAUCUUCCUCGUGUGAUUACAGCAGGUCGGUGUCUGUGUCCUACUGGGUGCGCGUCUUUCCCGAGACUUGAGUGGGGGGCUCCCUUCGGGGGUCUUUCACACACACACACACUACACACACACACUACACACACACACACACACACACACACACAGUGGGUAUUUGUACACUUUGUUUGUAGUUUAAAAAUGCUAUCAAUUUAAAGACUGUGGGAAUUCAGGUCUACUGGAGUGGUCGGUAGUAGAGGGAGCCUCCAGCUUUCCUUGGCUGCUUAGGGAAAACACUGCAGCAGUCUUGUCCUAAGAUUGCCUGGCUACAGCCAUGCUCUGUUCUCCCUUUCUGAAGAACUUACUCUCUCUCCUCCUAUAGUACUAUAUCACAUUGCUGAGACAAAACAAAACAAAAAACCACCACCAACAACAAGAACAAGGUAAGGCUUUAAAAAAGUUCCUAAACUGGAGGCAGUGGGGAUUCAGCAAGUAAAGAAGUGGAGUGUGAAUUACUAAACAGAACCGUGGAGUGAAGUAGCAGCAUGGCACAUUUUGCAUUUGGAAGUCUUCCAAGGCAGAAUCUAGCUGCACUGGGGACGAGGGGCAGAGCAGCAUCUGUCAGUGGGUUUUCCAGGCUGUGGCUUCACUGCACAGCGGCGGUGUGCUUAUCAUCUGAGUUGGGGUGUGUGGGGUUCUUGGAAGGGUGCAGGUAGGCAGCAUAGUCAGUCUGGGUUUGCUUCACUGGGCUCUUCUUUUACAUAUUGCUGUGCGCGCCCCCCACCCCGUUUUCCUGAUUCCUUUUUCAAACAAUCUGUAAGCAUCAUUGUGAAGGAAAGCCAGCAGGACAUGUAAAAUAGCCUCAUAAAUUAAGACAAGAUGACUCCCAUUAGUUUGACAUAGAGUGGUUGGAGGCUUAGGCAAAAACCAGAGGAAAGUGAGUUAGAAGACAGAGCCCUGGGGUCCCACCUGAGGAGGUAUCUGGAGAUGGAGCAGAAGAGAGGUGAGUUUAAACACCUGCUCUGGGGACCCAAGUCUCUAAAGUUACGUUCAGUGGCUCAUUGGACACUGAGAGUGAGAGCAAGCUUUGAGGGUUGACUCAGGGAUAAGAAGAAGUAUGCAUGAAACCUUGUAAAUCACAACAAAACCCAUCCCCCCCCCCCCCCACGGAGGCAGAAACAGAAGAGGGGAAAGCUUUCACCCACCUCACCUUGGCAGGCUUCAGCCAUUAGUCAUUCUGUUUUCAAGCAUUAAAUUGCAAUAAAUAUGAAAUGUCCUGUCAACUGCCCCAGAUCGUAUUUAUUCAAAUCAGCCAGAAGAGGUUUCUAAAAGCAAAUGCCAACAUAUCAGAAAGAUCCAAGGAGUCGGCAAAAAUGUCCGGAAGCAGUUCCCAAAUAAGUCAUCAUGCUUAAAGAAAACUCAUCUGUGUCCAGGCAUUGCAGACUUACCUGUGGUGGAUAUUCCUCCUGAAAUCCCCACAUCCUUGUGGGUGUUCAGUGCUAGGUUGGUUUUAGAAGGCUGUCCUAAGUGUAAAGUGGCUUGCAAAGAUAGUAACAUAGUCACCCAUGUAUAUUUACAACACAUUCCUGCAGGCAACUUGUAGCUCAAUGGAACAUUUACUCUGUAGUAUAAUUUUUCGAUAAUAUUACAUGCAUUAAUAAAGGUAAUUUAGAAGACGCCCCCAUAAAGUCAUUUGACUUUCUGUGUGUGUGUGUGUAUGUGGCAAUUGCCAGAGUAAUAAAAUGCUUUUGCAUUAUGUGGCAAUAGGAAAGCUAUGCCCUUUUGCUUGAUUAAGUAAAGUCCCUUCAGCAUUUACAGCUACACAUUUGUCUGUCACUUUACUGCCAUCCUAUUUUAAUUUGAGCUAUGCAUCUCCUGACUCUGGAUGUCUCUACCCAGAGAGUUUUAGAGAACAAUAUUGUUGUCUUGCACAGCAGAAAGACCAGGGGCACGAAUACAUGGUUUUACACUGUCAAGUGCUUGCCACAUUUAAUGCAGAUCCAGGGUUCCAGAUCCACCAGGUUCUUUUGUUAAUGGUUUGAAAAUGUCUUGGACAUCAACUGUGUAUUAAGCUUUGUGGUAGUAUUGUGGAGAAAUUCAAAGGCAAGGUCUGGGGUGUGUGUGUGUGUGUGUGUGUGUGUGUGUGUGUGUGUGUGUGUGUGUGUGUAUGUGUGUGUGUGUGUGUAGUUAAGAGCUUGGAACUUCUAGUAUGUCCUUCAACUCCCCUCCAUGAUGACAUUUCCUUAUUAGAGCUAAGGAGGAUGGUUUUUAGUCUCAGAAAAGGGGGAGAAAAGAUGCCAUCUAGAAGAAGGGGGAUUCAUAAAAACAUGAUAAUGAAGUAGUGAAGGGGUAGAGGGGAGAUGAAUGGAGAAAGGUGCAUUCUGGGAUUGAUCGCUCUUUGAUUUGAGAUGCCAUUUUCUCUAUGGGUUCAAAUCCUUCGGGAAAUGUUGCUGAUCCUACAAGUGCUCUGUUUAGGAGUUGACCUUCUUCAGCAGAGGGUCUCUGCAGAGGGCUGCAAUAAGUAGAUUUGUAUCUCUAGAUAUGGUGAGUUUGAGGUGCAGUGUUCACAGAGUCAUAAACCAAUGGGAAAGUCCAACCUUCAGCACCAUGCACUGGAGGGUAUGUGUCCACUAAAUCUACUUCUCUCAGAAUGAAGAAAUUCCAGUCGAGAGCUGUGUUACACCAGACUUAGAGAUUUCAGAGCACUUCCAACCUGGUCGGAUAGUCUAAACCAACAUCAAAAUUAAAGCCCAUGGUAGAGACAGAGAGCUACAGAUCUGGCUGGUUGGAAGAAGGAAGAGUCCCUCUAAGUAAGGCAGGUCUUGAAGGAGGUGCUUGAGUUUUUGCCCCAGCAGCCUAAGAUUUUUGUAAGGAAGAUGUAAGAUUUAAUAGGAUUUUUAGGUUUGAGUCUGCUGAGAGGAAUGGGUAAGAGGUGCACAAACAGGUACCAUGGGAGUAAAACAAACGCGACUGGCUUCCCAUUAAGCCCUUACCUUGUGGUCUCUGAGCAAAAUUUCCUGAGUUUCAUCUCUGCAGAGACCUGAUUCAAACCUGUCCUCCUCAAACCACAGCCAGGAAAUGACAGAAAACACGAAUCAUCCAUGCAUUCAACCAGUAGAGGGCAGGGAUCGGCGUUUUCACUGCUAGGAUUCCCAUGGUAAGUAAAGCAGACAGCCUGUAUCAUCCUGCCCCAUGGGAGACACAGCAGCCUAGCAUGCAGAUGUACAACUGCACAUCACUCUCCACAGUAAUCAGUGCCCUGGGGGAGACUAAGAGGAUGCUGUGAUGAUUGUGAGGCAGGCAGAAACUACUAAAGAAGACAUGUUCAGGGGAAGUCUCGCCUAGGUGAUGAUUAAACCUGGAUCUGAAAAAUGACAAACUUACACAGAGAGGAAGUGAUAUAGCUCAGAGAGAGGAGAAAUCAUUUGUAAAGGCGCUGUGUUGGAUCCUUUUGAAGACUCUGGGAGAACAGGCUAAUUGAUGCACUGUUAGUAUAGUAAAAGGACACAUGUGUCCCAGUUGAAGGAACAGCUGGAUCCGAUCAUUUAAGGUACUAAACAGCAAAGGAAGAGUUUAGUUUCCAUCACAACUGUGGUACAAAUCUACCAAAAGAGUCUGAGCAAUGAGUAAAUUUGGUCUCCUCUCUCUCUCUCUCUCUCUCUCUCUCUCUCUCUCUCUCUCUCUCUCUCUCUGAAUUGUCAACAAUAAAUUCCUAACACUUCACAGGCAUAUGCAGGCCACAGCCACGCAUGCUGCAUGUGAUGGUCUGGCCCUACUCAGGUUUACUCGCUGCAGGUUCCCAGCAGCCAACAGAUGGAUAAUAACAUUUAGUCGUCAGCGGCUGGUAAUUACAGUGUAUAUUUAAAGAAGAAAUAACUACAUUUCCUGCUUCGAGCACUCUCUUAUGAAAUGGAGAACCAAUAUCUCCCAAAUUAUAUAGUGGAGAUGCGAUCCACAGUUCCAAGAACUGAUAGAAAACUCCCCGGGGUUAAUAAUUCAUGCAUGACCUGUGAUUGUAGCUGUACGUUUUAUCUGUUUUCAUUAGAUGCUCUCUUUUAUUGAGUUUUCACAGUGUACAUUGGUAGCCUGGAUGUGCCCCUGUUUGAAAUAAGCUUUUGCUUUUGAAAUGUUCUGGACUAUAUAAUUUCAUUUGAACCAUUAUGUGAAGCACAUGGUUCCUGUGUGUCUGGCUUUUUAGAUUGUUUCACACCACUCUCUAAGCCUGGUUUGGAGACUGAUUCCAAACUUUCUAGGACCAAACAGUCCUAGGUUUCCCUUGUGGGUCAAUCUGCCCCCAACUCUGCCUUGCUUUUCAAUAAAAGGCUACCUGAUACUGAGAAGAGUUUCGAACUCAGAAUACUCUGCAAGAAGGCACCGUAAACAUUUCAAAAUGGAUUAUAUCCAUUCUGUGGACAGCAGAAGGAAAAUGGCAUUUGACAUGAUGCCAGCCCCCGGGGAGCUAUGUGUAGGGCCUGCCACUUUAUUGCUUGAGGUACACUGUCCCCUCUACAAAAAUGACUGUUUAGUUUCCAAAAACUAUAUAGAAACUCCUGAAGUAAGGGAUACCUUGUAGCUGUUUGUGGAUUAUCUAAUUUACACCUAUCCUGGAUCUAAUCCAUGUCCUUCCUAUCUGAUUUUCAAACCAACUCAAAAGGGUAUCACUAGAAAUACAUACAUCCUUUGUGUGUGUGUAUGGCUGUGUAUAUAUACAUAUAUAUACAUGCCAAUUAUUAGUAGUGACUCUCUCUGAAUUUUAGUUUCUCCUUUUCUUUAUUCUAACUUGCAAUAGAUCUGAAUUAUUUGUUCAAUAAUUAAAAAUAAGGCAAAGGAUACGUUUCUCCUUUUGGCACCUAGAACAAGGAAACUGGCAGUCAUGGUAAACUGGGGAAAGAGGAGAAAUGGCAAACAUCAAAAUAGACUACCAAGUCCGGGAGAUGGCUUAGUGGUUAGGGUGUUUGCUGUGCCAGCCUAUGGACCUGGGUUCUGAUCCCCAGAACCUAUGUAGAGGGCCUAGUGUGGUGAUAUGUGUUGGUAAUUCUAGGGUUGGGAGGUGGAGACAGAAGAAUCAUGGGGGCUCACUAGCCAGCCAUUCUAGCUGAACUCCAGGUUCAGUGUGAGACUUUGUCUCAAAUGGUAAGAAGGGAGAGAUGGAGGAGAAUACACAAUAGCCUCUGGCCUCCACAGCGUGCACUCACACACACCACAGCCUGUGGGGCCCUUCAUCUUCAAGGCAAGCAGAAUGGGAGUCCCUAGGAUAUUCAUAAAUCAUGAUAUCAUGUGGUACAUGUGCAUGUAUGUGUGUGUGUGUGUGUGUGUGUGUGCGCGCGCAGUACAUCUCUGUGUGUAUUUGUGUGUAUGUAUAUGUGCAUAUGUGUGUGUGUGCAUGCAGUUCCUGUGUGUUUGUUGUCUGUGUGUAUGUGUAUGUGUGCAGUGCCUCUGUAUGCAUGCAAUACCUGUGUGUGCAUGCGUGUAUGUGUAUAUGUGUGUGUUUGUGUGUGUAGUGUAUCUGUGUGUAUGUGUGUUUGUAUGUAUGUGUGUGUGCAUGUGUGUGUGUGUGUGUGUGUGUGUGUGUGUGUGUACUGUAGAAGCACAGAGCCCUCUCAAGUGUCUCCUAAGACAUUAACCCCAAGCCAGGACUCCUUGUAGGGAUAUCUUCAUCACAUUUACCUUGGAUUCUUCUCAAGGGAGGAGAGAUAACGCAGGUGAGGAUGGGUGGUGAGGGUGUGAGACCGGACAGGGGUGGGGGUGGGGGAGCUCUGGCUCCUUUCAGAGACCAGCAAUGAAUCUGGCUUCCUCCUCCUGAUCGUUCCCCAGAGGCUCUGUACACCAUCUCCUCACUUGCCUCCUUAUUUUAUCCUUGCUUCCCUUGAGGAGGGGAGGAUGGGCACCAUUCACAGACUUCCCUUUCCUCUCUGAUGGUUGUGGAUUAGUGGCAUUGACUCUGUGAUCUUAUAGAAAGCAUUUAAGGGAGUCAGUUUUAAUUUGGUCCACAGCAUCAAUGGUUCAGCUCAUGCUCCCGUGGCUCCUUUUCUGAGCUUGUGAUGAAGUAAAUUAUCACAGUGGCAGAGGCAUGUAGAGGAGGAGGCUGUUUAUCUCAUGGUGGACAGGAAGUAGACAAAAGGAGAGGGGCUGAGAACCAGGUCCAACCUUCAAAAGAGUGCUCCGUUCUGGGACUACUUCCUCACUCUGGGAUUUGCCUCCUGGAGUUUUUGGAACCUUUCAAAUUAGUGCCACUACCUGGGAACCAAGUGUUAACAUGUGAGUCUGUGGGAAGUUACUUCACAUUCAAACUGUAACGGAAAGAAACCUUUAGUCUCUUCCAUGUCUUUUCCUUUAAUGCUAUUUUACUUUUACAGAUAUGUGCAGACCACAGAAAUAUAGUCUGCUGCUGUUGGCCUGGCAUCAUGCACCUUUCUGUUUAUGGAUGUGUGUGUGUGUGUGUGUGUGUGUGUGUGUGUGUGUGUGUGUGUGUGCUGUGUGCAUGCUCCUAUAGAGGUCAGAGAUCAAUCUUGGGUGUCAUUCCUCAGGAAGUAUGUAUCUUUUUUUUUAGAUAAGGACCAGGGGAUUGCCAAUUCAUCUAGUCUGGCUGAUCAGGGAGCCCCAGGAAUUCUCUUGUCAACUUCGAGUGCUGGGGUUAGAAGCCUAUGCUACUGGACCAGCUUGAGAUUGAAUCCAGGUCUUUACACUUGCACAGCAAGCCGUCCACUCUCUCCUCUACUUGCAGCUCUUAAUAAACAAGUCAAUCUUUUUGGAAAUGAGAAAACAUUUUCUCAAUUAAACAGCCAGUUUAAAAGCCUAAAUUCUUUUGGCAAUCGAAAACAAGAGACUUCAAGCCUAUUGCCCACAUUGGGGUUUUAUUGUUCUCUCCCUCCCUCCUUCCCGUCCUUGUUCCCUCCCUCUCUCUUCCCCUUCCUUUCUCCUUUGUUCUCACUAUUCUCAUACCCCUCCCUUUUGUUAUUCAUUCUGAUUUUUUAACUUCCUACUUGUGGACAAAGAAUGGUUUCUGGUACAAGAAAGGCUUUUGUCUCUGCAUAGUUGGGGAGGUGUGCAGAACUCAAAGGAAAAUUCCUCAGCUCAUGUCACCAAAUUUCCUCCUAACACAUGUAAUGUGGAGCCAAUUAUGUACCUAUCGUGUGAGCUUGUUAUGAGGAUUUAAUGAGAGGAUCCAGGAGAAACACUUAACACACAGGCUGUAUGUGCUGAGGGUUCAGUAGAUGUUUCCCAUUGUAAUAGGUAUUUAGUAUUCUUAGUGUGCCCUGCAACUUCUUGGUGUCCACUAGGAAAAAAGAAAGCAUUCUCCAGGAUCCAACCACACCCCUCUUGGCAACCCACACAGUCCUUUUCAGCCAUGUCCUCCUCCUAGCAGAGGUGACUUAGAAGCUACUACAGAGCUCCAGUGACCACUGUUCUUCUCCCAAAAGCAAAGAGAUAGCUGAUGCACCACAUGUUCUUCCAUGUAGGAAGCAGGUAAGAUACUUCUACAUUCAAGGUUCCUCAUGUUCAGCUGGUGGCCCCUGAAAGUCCCCAAUGAGCCUGUAGCACAGGAUGGACCUGGAGCCGUUCCUAUCCCUAGGCAGGCAGAGGUGCAUGGGAAAGAAGCAGAGUGUGGCCCUAAGCUAUCAGUCUUUCCUCUAUACCAAGAAAGGACUGGACUGUCACUGUACUAACAUUAGGCAGCUCAGGAAACACUACGGCUGCUUGGACACAUGUCAGCCAUUCCUGGGGCCAAGGAAGACUUGGUUUUGAUGCCUGAGCAUCAUUUUUUUAAAUAAGUUCCUGACCUUUGACACAGUGAUCAGCCUGCUGGUGUAGCUACUUGCUGACCUAUUUACUUGCUGGCGUAUUUAAGUGAUGGCAAAUCAUGGGAGGUUCUACAAAGGCUUUAAACCUUUAACUUCAAUGGUAAGGACCCAAUGGAGUCAUAGAAAACACUGGAAAACAUUGCUUGACUCUCUUCCAUUUGCAGACCUCUACUGAACCAACCAGAGAAACCUGUAUCUGCUCAGAGAGCUUUGCUGCUCUUUCCCCUCUCACACAGAUACAAACAGGCAUUCAUAGGUGUGUACAAAGGAGCCCAUACAUGCAUAUGCACAAAUACACAUACAUGUACACACACAAAUACACAUACAUGUAUACACACAGACACAUAUUCACUCACACACAUGCAUCUAUACCCACAGAAAUGCCUAUAGGGCGCCACCAUACUUGAGGUAUCUCAUGAAAAGCUAGUCCUACACAAUUCCUUUGGAUAUCAUCCUCUUCCUUCCCUUCUUUCUCUAUUUCCUCUGCAAGUGUCAGAUUCUUGAAUAUAUUGGGUGGCUCUGUAGACCAUUUAGGAGAAAUUUACAUUUUGUGCUGGGUCAGCAUUAAAUGAGCCCUGAAAACCAGAUUCUCUUGGUGGCCACACACCCCUGAAAAGACAUUUAGGAAGAUAAAGACGCAUGGUGGGGAAUAACAACAUGGCUGUGAGGGCAUAGUGAGGCUUCCCUGAUGUGUCAGAGAAAUCGGGGGCUCUCCCCUCUGCCCCUUAGCACAUUGGGUGCCUACUGAACUGGGCUGACUUUGUGAAGAGAUCUUUCACCUGGUCACAGGAGACAAUGGGGUUCUGGUUACCUUGUACUUGAGAUCUGCCUGCCAGGGCUUCUCUCCUCUUGGCUUCCUUCUUUGCAGCCCCAGAAGCCUCAUAGUUUUUUUUUUUUACACUUACCAACUUCAGCUAGAGACUCACAGUGC